Molecule: long non-coding RNA, 10989 nt
Filed under: Lynx pardinus (Iberian lynx)
Lineage: Eukaryota; Metazoa; Chordata; Mammalia; Carnivora; Felidae
Source: RNAcentral
GCACAGUUGAAGAAGCGACGGAGGGUCGAGGAGUCGUUUGUGAGGUGAGUUCCAGGGGGUGGGGGGGAUCGUGUUGCUGCGAUCGCUUUCCCGCGGGCUAGACUUCUGGGGUCCUGAGGGAGACAGGGACGGGGUUUCGAAUUCCCGACUCCCUGUCAAUCAUUAAUAGACGACUCCAGGCGCCCCAUGUCUGAAGCUGAACUACAUCUCCCGGCAUCCCCGGGAGGUAGCCAGGCCUCCACCCGGCACUUCUUAAAUGUCGGUAUUCCACCGUAGAGGGCUAUGGGCCGGGGGUCCCAGGGGAAGGAGGAGACUGGGACUCUUGGGAGGGUCUAAGGAGUGGGACUUGAGGAAGAAGGACCCCCUUUCCUGGCCUCAGUUUCCCAUCUGUGACCGGGAGGGCGGAGGAGAUUGUGCAGUCGCCCGCCGCUGCCUUCUCUGCAUUUUUUUUUGAUAACUCCUUCCUUCUCAGAGUUGGUGGAGGCUUUAACCUUUUCCUCUGGGGAGGUCUGGGGUCAGGCCGACCUGGGUUCUCAUCCCGAUGGUGCUGUUGAGUCGGUGUGAACUUGGGCUUCGAAGGGUUUUACUUUAACGUUUUAUUGUGAAAAUGUUCAAACUCACAGAGAAUAAUGUAAGAAUCCCUAUCGCCUAUGGGGCGCUUGGGUGGCUCAGUCGGUUGAGCAUCCGACUUUGGCUCAGGUCAUGAUCUUGGGGUUUGUGAGUUCAGGCCCCCUGUCGGACUCUCUGCUGACCGAUCGGAGCCUGGAACCUGCUUCAGAUUCUGUGAUAACGCUGCUGAGAAUAUUUGUGUGAGAAUUUUUGUGUGGACGUGUUUUCAUUUCUGUCGGAAGCAGCAUUGCUGAAUCAAAUAGUAACUCUACCUUUAGGCUUUUGAGAAACUGCCAGACUUUUCCACAGUGGCUGCCCCAGCCUCCAUUCCCACUCAGUGUGUAAGGGUUCCAGUUUCUCGACACUUGUUAUGAUCUGACUUUUCGGUUGUGAUCCUCCUAGUGGGUUUGAACUGGUAUCUCACUGUGGUUUUUUAUCGCAUUACUUAAAGUUUUAUUAGGGCGCCUGGGUGGUCCAAUCGGUAAGGCGCGUCAGACUUCAGCUCAGGUCAUGAUCUUGCGGUCUGUGGGUUCGAGCCCCGCGUCGGGCUCUGUGCUGAUGGCUCAGAGCCUGGAGCCUGCUUCAGAUUGUGUGUCUUCCUCUCUCUCUGCCCCUCUCCCCUCCUCUCAAAAAAUAAACAUUAAAAAAAAUAAUAAAAUAAAAAGUAAAGUUUUAUUUAUUUAUUUAGAGAGAGUGCACCCAUGAACGGAGGAGGGGGAGAGACAGAAUCCCAGGCAGGCUCUAUGCUGUCUGUGGGGCUUGAUCUCACGAAUCAUGAGAUCAUGACCUGAGCGAAAACCAAGAGUCUGAUGCUCAACCGACUGCGCCACCCAGGCACCCCUAUUUAGUUUUAAAGAUUUUUUAAAUAUAAUUUUCUAAUGUCUAUUUUUUGAGAAAGAGAGAGAGAAACAGAGUGCAAGUGAGGGAGGGGCAGAGAGAGAAGGAGACACAGAAUCCGAAGCAGGCUCCAGGCUCUGAGCUGUCAGCACGGAACUCACGAACUGCAGGAUCAUGACCUGAGCCGAAGUCUGACCCUUAACCAACUGAGCCACCAAGGCACCCCUUAAAGAUUUUGUUUUUAAGUAAUUGCUCUACACGCAACACGGGGCUCAAACUUACAACCCUGAGAUCAAGAGUCACAUGCUCUACGGACUGAGCCAGCCAGGCGCCCCCUCACCCCACCCCCUGCCUAUUUUUAAAUUGGGUCACUCAUCUUUUUAUUAUUGAGUUAUAAGUCUUUCGUAUAUUCUAGAUGUUAUUCCUUGAUUGGAUAUAUGAUUUGCAACCCCCACUUGUGUUUGUACAGCCUGCGAACUAAGAACGGUUGUAACAUUUUUUAAAAAUUAGACAAAAUCAAAAGAAAUGAUAUUUUGUGACCCAUGGCAAUUUAUGUGAUUCAGAUGUCCGUGUCCACAAGGAAACUUUUAUUGGAACACAGCCAUGCACGUUCAUGUCCGUGGUGUCCAUGGCUGCUCUUGCCGUAGGAGAGCCGAGCUGAGUAGUUGUGACAGGGGCCCAGUGGGCCACGAAGUCAAAAAUCUUUUUUUUUUUUUUUUAAUGUUUAUUUAUUUUGGAGAGAGACAAAGAGCACGAGUCGGGGAGGGGCAGAGAGAGAAGGAGACACAGGAUCCGAAGCAGGCUUCAAGCCGUCGGCCCAGAGCCCGACCCCGGGCUCGAACUCACGAACCGUGAGAUCAUGACCUGAGCCGAAGUCCGACGCUCCACCGACUGAGCCACCCAGGCGCCCCAAAGUCCAAAAUCUUUACUAUCCUGACCCUUUUUGGUUGAUCCCUGCCACGUUCCUUAUGGUGAAGGCCCUCGCCAGCAAUAUGACUAUUUCGGAGAUUGUCUGUGACGGACAAAAUGAAGGUUACGUGAGAUCAUGGGAGUGGAGUCCUACCGCAUGGGGCUGGUGUUGUUAGGACAGGAGGAGAUGCCAGAGGGCACGCUCUCUGCCCUGUGAGGACACAGCAAGAAGGCGGCCACUAUCCGGGAGCCAGGAAGAGAGAGUCCUCACCAGAAGCUGACCACGCUAGCACCGUGAUCUUGGACUUCCAGCCUCCAGAACCAUAAAUAUCUCCACAAAUAAAUGUCUGUUGUCUAAGCCACAUUCCAGUAGAUGGAAUUUUGUUCUGGCAGCCCUAGCUAACUGAUGCAGAUAGGAAGAGCCAAACCUGCACUGUAAAGUUACAUUUUUAUCCUUUCCGCUAACGGGUAUUGGCACCCUGCGAAUAUACAGUUCCCUUCAGUCUUUCCCUUAAGGGCAUCCCUCAACAAUCAUUGCCUCGUCAACUGUGUUGUCAGGGGAUGCAAAAUGCUUUUCCACUUCUUUUAUUUAUCUUUUCUUUUUUUUUUUUUUUUUUAACAUUUAUUUAUUUUUGAGAGACAGAGAGAGACAGAGCAUGAGCGGGGGAGGGGCAGAGAGAGAGGGAGACACAGAAUCCAAAGCGGGCUCCAGGCUCGGGGCUGUCAGCACAGAGCCCAACGCGGGGCUUGAACCCACAAACCGUGAGAUUGUGACCUGAGCUUGAAGUUGGACGCUCUACCGACUGAGCCACCCAUGUGUCCCUUUAAAUUAAAAAAAAAAAAGUUUUUUUUUUUUUUUAACGUUUAUUUAUUAUUGAGAGACAGAGAGACAGAGCAUGAGCAGGGGAGGGGCAGAGAGAGAGAGGGAGACACAGAAUCUGAAGCGGGCUCCAGGCUACGAGUGGUCAGCACAGAGCCUGACGCGGGGCUCGAACCCACAAACCACGAGAUCAUGACCUGAGCUGAAGUUGGAUGCUCAACCAACGGAGCCACCCAGGCGCCCCUAAAUUUUUUUUUAAUGUUUAUUUAUUUUUGAGAGAGAGAGAGUACAAGCAGGGGAGGGGCAGAGGGAGAGGGAGACACAGAAUCUAAAGUGGGCUCCAGACUCUUAGCUGUCAGCACAGAGCCUGAUGUGGGGCUUGAACCCACAAACUGCAAGAUCUUAACCGCAGCCAAAGUCAGAUGCUUAACCAACUGAGCCACCCAGGCGCCCCUGCAUCAGCCAUUAUUAAUAGAGAAUCUCUGGGGGUGCCUGGCUUGCUCAGUCGGAGGGGUGUGUGAUUCUUGAUCUUAGGGCUGUGAGUUCAAGCCCCAUGUUGGGCGUAGAGAUUACUUAAAUAAAUAAAAACUUGAAAAAAACAGAGAAUCUCAGAUGCUCACUUUUGCUUUUAGCGAACUCUCUCGGUACUGCUUACACCCCGUCCUAAGUCUGCGAUUUCCUUGAGUGUAAUUAGCUCCUUGGUUUCCUUUAACACAGAAGCCUUCAUACCCCUGGAAUGGCCUGGCACACACCUUUUAGGGAGAGGGGUGUGUGGCAUUCUCUAGGUUCUCAAAGGGAUCCCUGACCCCACCAAAAGGUUAAGAGCCACUGGUUUUAGAGUUCAGAAAACCAACUGCAGAAAAAGACGGCAGGGAGUCGGUAAUUUGAACGCCAGCCAGAACCAUUAGCGUGUUAAUGGUAUUGUGGUCAUGGUUUUUAAAAGUCCCAUCGCAGCGCUGUGCCCUGUGCCCUUCGAGCCCUAGCUGCUAGUCCCAAGAGGCCGUGCAGCACUUUACUAAGUGGCUAGUUUGACUUGAGGGACUGAAUGUUUCUCAGUUCUUUCAUUUUAAUUCAUUUAAAUAGAAACGCCAACACUAGACCGAGUUAUCGGAAACCUUGUAAGCAUGUUCGGAACAGAGGCGGUAUGUGAAUGUACCUUGGCAGCCGUAAAUCACAAAACCUAAAUAGAGGUCAAGUAUCUCCAGUGAAAGUUUCGCGUGUGAAUUGAAAUGUGUUGAAAGAGUAAAGCAUAGUCCAGAUCUUGAAGGCUUUGUACAAAACAAAAAGGGGGAGGGGGAAUGGGUUGGCCUGUGUCCUCAGACUGUCACCCUCUUGGGAGGACUGACAGUUGCCACGUGGUUAAGGGGGCGGCCCCGCAGCCUGCUUGCCUGGGUUCCCCUUCCCAGCUGGGGGAUGCCCGAGCCUGUUUCCUCCCCCGGAAGUGGGGCGUGAUGAUAAGCAGGAGAUAGGAUUUUGGAAUUUCUCUGAAAUACUAGUGACAGCAGAUGGCAGUAGUUCUGUUCUCUGUUUUGAACUUGGCCCUAAUGAGGAGACCAUACAGCUGCGCUGGGUCCUGCCACGGCCGCCCACCAGCCCGUUAGCCCGCGGCCAGCAGCUCUUAAACUUUUUGGUCUCCGUGUCAUAAAAGUCAUCCAGGACUCCAGAGAACUUUUGUUUAUGUGAGUUCUAUCGAUUCAUAUUUGCUGUACCAGAAAUUAAACCUGAUGUGAAAAAAGGUUUUUAUGGGCGCCUAAGUGGCUCAGUCGGUAAAGCGUCCGACUCUUGGUUUCAGCUCAGGGCAUGAUCUCACGGUUCAUGGGUUCGAGCCCCGCAUCGGGCUCCGUACUGACAGUGUGGAGCCUGCCUGGGAUUCUUCUCUCUCCCUCUCUGUCUGCCCCUUCUUCACUCUCUCUUUUUCUCUCUCUCUCUCUGUCUAAAUAAACUUUAAAAAAGAAAAAGGUUUGGGGCGCCUGGGUGGCUCAGUCGGUUAAGCCGCUGACUUCGGCUCAGGUCAUGAUCUCGCGGUCCAUGAGUUCGAGCCCCGCGUUGGGCUCUGUGCUGACAGUUCAGAGCCUGGAGCCUGUUUUGGAUUCUGUGUCUCCCUCUCUCUGACCCUCCCCCGUUCAUGCUCUGUCUCUCUCUGUCUCAAAAAUAAAUAAACGUUAAAAAAAAAAAGGAAAAAGGUUUUUAUUGAGCAGUAAUUCACAUAACACAAAAUUCAUCCAUUUAAAGUGAUAUAUACACUAUUUUGUGCAAUCACCACCACUUAUCAUUCUGGAACAUUUUCAUCACCCCAAAAAUAAACCAGAAAGUCACUCCUCACUUCCCCUUCUCCCAUCCUGUGGUAACCACCAUUCUGCUUUCUGUCUCCAUGGAUUUGCCUGUUCUGGACGUUUCUUAUACGUGGAACCCUACGAUACAUGGCCUUUGUGCCAGCUUCCUUUCUCUUAGCAUAAUAAAACAUUAUUUAAAAAUCAGCUCCACACCCACUGUGGGGCUUGAAUUCAGGACCCUGAGAUUAAGAGUCACAUGCUCCACCAACUGAGCCAGCCAGGUGCCCCUAAAACAUUUUUAAAACCCAAGGAUGCAGAAGCAUACAUUCAGUUUGCGGUGGGAGCAAUGACAUCCUCACGUGUCACGCUGUCUCUGGAAAACUCCACUGUGCACUUGUGAGAGAGUGAGAGUAACAAAGGCAAACACAUGUUAGUAUUAUUAUGGAAAUAGCUUGUGGACCCCCUGAAGGUAUCUUAGGAACCCCUCUAGGAUCCCCGGACCUUACUUUGAGAACCACUGCCCUAGGCAAUGGCUUCACUUCUAAGAAUCCUUUUGCCCAUCUGAAAAAUGGUCAUGGGCCAGACUUCAGAGAGUGGUUGAGGUUGGACAAUCAAUGAGAUGGGGGCACAGAGAGUUGGCGUGGGGUCAGAGAUCUUAGCAGUGUUCUGUGGGACUAUUCCAUUAUCACCUGGCCAAGUUAAAAAAAAAAAAAAAGGUUGCCUCUGUAGUUGCUCCUUUUACUCUUGGAGGGAAAAUGUCUCCGGCCAUGGCCAUGAAGCCAAAGAGUGUAGAAACCCCUGUCAUUGGCCACAAGACAAGCAGCUGUGUGCCAAAUCCCACAGAGGGUCAAGGCAGUUGACAACUAAGAAUAGAGUAGGGAAUUUGGCCAUGAGGAGGUCAAUGCGACCUUCAUGAGUGGCAGUUGGGGGGGCUGGGGCUGAAGCCAGAGGGUGGGGGGAGGAGUGCCUGGCAGGUGAGAGAGGGGAGACAGCAGGUGCUGGAUGUUUGCUCAAAAGCUUGGGGGUGAGGGGAAGUUGGAGGAGGGCCAUGGGUCAAGUUGGGGUGUUUCACCAAGGUUAGCUGUCGCAGGCAGCACAGUGGCCACCACUGGGGUGAAAUGUUUUGUGUCUCGACUGGGGUGGCAGUCACAAGGGCAUACAUCUCUGUCAACACGCAUCAGAUCUAUGUCCAUACACCGAAGAACAAAAACCAGCUUCUGAGAGGAAAUCGCCAGUAGGGGGAGAGCGAGAUCCAUAGCUCGGAGAGGGAGAGAGUUUUGUGGUUCAAGUUCUGAAUGUGAAAGACAAGAGUCUGAAGGCGACCAGAAGAGGGGAAUACAGACAAAGUUACUUUUUGCAGUUUGGGAGUCCUUGGCUGUGUCCCCCCGCCCCCGGCUCCACCCCAGCCUUCUGGACCUUUCUCACAACCAGAGAGCCAGAGAGAAUAUUUCCUGAACACCGCCUAUGUGCCAGGCUCUGAGCAGGACUCAUUCAGCUGUCACAGAAAUCCAGUCUCGGCAAUGAGAUCCCAUGGUUAUCCCAGGGAUGAUUAACUUUUUGCCAAAUUAAACCAAGGCUCAGAGAAAGGAAAUGGCCAACCUAGGGUCACAACAGCCAGUGCGGGGCCAACCCUGGACUCAAGCCCAGGCUGAAGGUCAUCUUGCCCAAUCCUUGAUCCCUAUAGCCUACAACCCCCUCCUGUAGCUCCAGCCCCUGAUUAGUCCCCACCGACACAUGGGCAACCACUCCGAUAUGCAGAACAUACACGCUCUUGUUUGUAAGUAUUCUUUAAUACGCACUAUCUUGGGGCGCCUGGGUGGCUCAGUGUGGUGGUUAAGCAUUCAACUCUCGAUUUCCGUUCAGGUCAUGAUCUCACGGUUCGUGAGUUUGAACCCCAUGUUAAGUUCCGAGCUGACAGUGCAGAGCCUGCUUUGGAUUCUCUCUCUCUCCCUUUCUCUGUGCCCUUCCCAUGCUCCCUCUUUCUCUCUUUCUCUCUCAAAAAUAAGUAAAACAAUAAAAUGUACUAUCUUGCACACACGUAGAUUGGUAGUAAUUCUGUUUUAUUUUUUAAAUUUUGUGUAUUUUAUUAUUUUAGAGUAUGUGCACAUGAACAGGGGAGAGGGGCAGAGGGGGAGAGGAAGAGAAUCUUAAGCAGGCUCUACCCUCAGCACAGUGUCCAACUCAGGGCUCGAUCCCACGACCCCAGGAACAUGACCUGAUCCGAAAUCAAGAAUCAGAUGCUCAACUGGCUGAGCUACCCAGGUGCCCCUUACUUUUUUUUUUCUUAUUUUUUAUACCCAGUGUUAAGAUCCACCUGUGACACCUUGCAUGUAUCUAGCAGAUUGCAUCUCACUGCUGGGUGGUCUCCAGGAUGAGCUGUCACCACCCAUUCUCCCAGGGAGGGACAUCAGGUGCCUUUGACUCCCCUCUGGUAUAAAUAACACUGCUGUGGACAUCCUUGGGCAUGCUCCUUGUGGGUGUCUCUGAGAAUGUCUUUGGGGCCCAUCACCCACGGUGCAGAAUCACCUAUGCUUACCUUGCUAAAGUGCCACCAGCCUGUGUUCCGGGAGGCUGACCCUGUCCACUCUCCCCGCUGCAUUGCCUUAAGGGUCCUGAAACCGAUCAUGUGUCCUCACCAAGCCCUGGUCUUACCCAGCUUUUUGAAGUUUCGCCUGUCAGUCUGAUGAUGAUAGGUAUGAAGUGCUAUCUCACUGUGGUUUUCACUGAAGAGAGCUGGAUUAUCUCUCCAUACGCUCGUUAGUCUUUGAGCUGCUUCUGUAAGUUGCCUUUUCACAUCCUUUGCUAAUUUUCCUGUCAGGGUGGCUGUUUUUUUUUCUUGUUGAUUUGCCAGAGCCCCAUGUACAGUCAGUUCCGCUAGAACACCUGUUUUGAAAAUUUAGGGGCGCCUGGGUGGCUUGGUCGGUUAAGCAUCCGACUUCGGCUCAGGUCAUGAUCUCACGGUCCGUGAGUUCGAGCCCCGCAUCGGGCUCUGUGCUGACGGCUCAGAGCCUGGAGCCUGUUUCAGAUUCUGUGUCUCCCUCUCUCUCUGCUCCUCCCCUGUUCAUGCUCUGUCUCUCUGUCUCAAAAAUAAAUAAACAUUAAAAAAAAAAUUAAAAAAAAGAAAAUGUGAAUUCCAGGGCACCCAGCUGACUCAGUCAGUUAAGCAUCCGACUUCGGCUCGGGUCAUGAGCUCACGGUUCGUGAGUUCGAGCCCCGCAUCAGGCUCCAUGCUGACAGUGCAGAGCCUGCUUGAGAUUCUGUCUUUCUGCCCCUCCCGACUCAUGCUUUCUCUCUCUCUCUCAAAAUAAAUGAAUACACUUAAAAAGAAAGAAAGAAAAUGGGAAUUUAUCCCGGCGCAAUCGAUCAUGUUUGGAAACAAUUGGACCAUAGUGCAGAUUUCCCCUUUGCUUAUAUGUGCUUUCACCCACCCAGGCGAGAAGGGGGUGAACCCCCCAAAACCGCACUCCACUGCAGUGAGCCUGUAGGCAUACACCGAGCACACACAUGCAUACAUAGCCCCAAACAGAACAUCUCUAGGCCCCUCACUUCACCAUGUCUGUAUGUAAGGAGCCCCACGCAUCCUCAUCUGCUGCUAGAACUUCUCUGGAUUUCAGAGAACCCUCCUUCUACCGCCUCAGAGUAACUCACAGGGUGCACGCCUUCUGAUGCAUGAUUCCACAAGCAGAGUGUAGGUCACUUUCCAAAGUGAAAUGCUGUCUUUCUUUUUGCAGUCUGUGGGUAUUUCCUAACCAGUCGACGCGUGUGAGACUGUCCUCCGCUGACCCACCCCCUGUUUUCCCAUCUGGCAAGGCCAGGGGCAGGUCGGCUCCGAGGGCCUGUCCUCCCUGGGGCCUCCCUCCACCACAGCCCUGCAACUGUCCCCUCCUCCUCCCCCCAGGAUGACCCGGCACGGCAAGAACUGCACGGCAGGGGCCGUCUAUACCUACCACGAGAAGAAGAAGGACACAGGUACUGGGUUUGGGAGGGGGGACAGUUGUAUCUCAAAGGCGCCAUCUCACUUUGCACCUCCGGCUGUGUCUUCUGGGCAUGUCUCUUUCCCCCCCACCCCACCCGCCGACCGAUGGUCAUGACACUAAGAGUAACAGCCCACGCGAUCCCGUGCCCCUGCAGUGGGCACUUGUGGGCGUGAACUCAUCUGAGACUCCCAGCUCCCCACUGAGGAAGGAAUCGCUGCUGUCGUAGCCAUAUUCCAGAGGCAGAAACUGAGGCCCAGAGAGGGCCAGGCCCUUGAGUCUGGGCUGAGGGGAGUCAGGCGUGAGCCUCUCUACCUGGCAACUUUGGUGACAGCCUGUCACUUACCCUCUGGAUUGACACCUUCCUGAGGGCUAUGCCCCGCCCCCAAUGCACACACACAGCCCGAGCUCUUGACUGCCUGUCUCUUGGGGUUUCGCAAGGGGCACCUCUCCUGUCCCUCCAUCCCUCUGCCUCUGUCUGUCCCCAGCGGCCUCAGGCUAUGGGACCCAGAACAUUCGACUGAGCCGGGAUGCCGUCAAGGACUUUGACUGCUGCUGCCUCUCUCUGCAGCCCUGCCACGACCCCGUCGUCACGUGAGCUGGGGAACUGCACUGGGGGGUGUGGGGAACCGCCUGCACAGCCAGGGCGCCCUGGGCAAGCCCCUUAACCCCUCAAGAGCCUCAGUGUGCUCAUCUGAGACAUGGGCAUGAUCCUAACGUGUUCCCCAGGGAUGUGGAAAAGACUACAUCCGUAACAGAGGGUAGGGCCCUUGGAUCAUUGCCUGGCACAUAAUAAUAGCUUAUGUGUGGAGCAUUUACCAUUCCCCGCCUUGUGGUCUGGCAGAGGCCUCGGUGAGAUAACGGGUACAAGGUGCUUAGUCCAGUGACUAAAUAUGGGCUCACUUUACAGGUCUGUUUUACAGACAUAGUGACGAGAGCAGCCCGUGGCUCAGGGUCCCUGAGGCCACCUGCAGGUUCAGUGAUUCAUUGGAAGAACUCGCAACUCAGAAAGGUGGUUAAGAGUCAGUGACGGCUUAUUACGGUACAAAGAUGGAGAUUAAGUCAGUCAGGGGAGAAGGCACGUGGGGCCGAGCCCAGGAGGGACCAGGAUCGAGCCUCCAGUUGUCCUCUCCUAAUAGAGUCACACAGACAGCGCUAGUCUCCCAACAACGACAUGUGACAGCAGGCAGACAUGGGCGCCGCCCACCGGGGGAAACUCACGGGAGCCCCAGCGUCCAGGGAUUUUACUGGAGGCUGGUAACUCAGGCAUGGCGUGACUUUGGUCUCCAGGCCCUCCAGAGGUCUAACCUCAUACCACAUGGCCCAGCCACCUCCCCCACCAGGUGAACUGAGACACUUUUAUCAGGCAGCACAUUCCAAGGGCUCAGAGGCUCCCUCCUGGGAGCUGGUUCAAGGGCCGGGUCCUUUGGAACGUGUAGGGUUUGGAGAACGCGGCCCGCUGAGCUAGCCCUUUAUUGCACAAGAUUUUCCCUACAAGGCAAAGCCAGGAGAGUGAAAAUGGCAUGGUCACCUCAGAGAGCUGUGCUAGGCACCGUGUGACCUGCCG